RNAcentral lists this ribosomal RNA (497 nucleotides) under uncultured bacterium. RNAcentral's name for it is "partial 16S ribosomal RNA". It matches the Rfam family "Bacterial small subunit ribosomal RNA", at positions 28 to 507 of the family's 1533-position model. The record is from RNAcentral.
GACGAACGCUGGCGGCGUGCCUAAUACAUGCAAGUUGAGCGCAGAAGGUUGGUACUUGUACCAACUGGAUGAGCAGCGAACGGGUGAGUAACGCGUGGGGAAUCUGCCUUUGAGCGGGGGACAACAUUUGGAAACGAAUGCUAAUACCGCAUAAAAACUUUAAACACAAGGUUUAAGAUUGAAAGAUGCAAUUGCUUCACUCAAUGAUGAUCUCGCGUUGUAUUUGCUAGUUGGUGAGGGAAAGGCCCACCCAGGCGAAGGAUCAUAGCCGAACCGAGAGGGGUGACCGCCCAAAUGGGACUUGAGCACGGCUCCAACCCCCUCGGGGAGCAGCAGUAGGGGAUCUUCGGCAAUUGGCGGAAGUCUUACCGGACAACGCCGGGUGGAGUGAGGAAGGUUUCGGAUCGUUAAACUCCGGUUGUAGGGAAGAACGUUGGUGAGAGUUGAAAGCGCAUCAAGUGACGGUAACUACCCAGAAAGGGACGGCUAACUACGUG